GUGGGGAAUAUUGGACAAUGGGCGAAAGCCUGAUCCAGCCACGCCGCGUGUGUGAUGAAGGUCUUCGGAUCGUAAAGCACUGUGGGGAGGGAAGAACGAGCAGCGGGAACAAUACCCCGUUGCAGUGACGGUACCUCCUUAGCAAGCACCGGCUAACUCCGUGCCAGCAGCCGCGGUAAUACGGAGGGUGCAAACGUUGCUCGGAAUCAUUGGGCGUAAAGCGCGUGUAGGCGGCUUGUUAAGUUGAGUGUGAAAGCCCUGGGCUUAACCCAGGAAGUGCGCUCAAAACUGGCGAGCUAGAGUACGGGAGAGGGUAGUGGAAUUCCCGGUGUAGAGGUGAAAUUCGUAGAUAUCGGGAGGAACACCAGUGGCGAAGGCGGCUACCUGGACCGAUACUGACGCUGAGACGCGAAAGCGUGGGUAGCAAACAGGAUUAGAAACCCCGGUAGUCC
Molecule: ribosomal RNA, 452 nt
Filed under: uncultured bacterium
Lineage: Bacteria
Description: bacterial SSU rRNA
Rfam family: Bacterial small subunit ribosomal RNA
Source: RNAcentral